This is a long non-coding RNA of Amphiprion ocellaris (clown anemonefish), 2178 nucleotides long. RefSeq lists it as uncharacterized. The record is from RefSeq and is a predicted model, not a curated record. Lineage: Eukaryota; Metazoa; Chordata; Actinopteri; Pomacentridae. The transcript has 3 exons.
UAUAGAAGACAGCGCGCUAGCGUAUCUAGUCUGUGUGUAUCUAUGGUCGGUAUGUCUGGUAGCAUCUCUGGCUGCUGUUGAUCUUGUAUUUGGAGUAAAACACGGUGGAAGCUGAAUUAGUGAGGAUGACUCCUGCUCCUGUCAUCUCUAAGCUCCUCACACAUCUUUACCUGCACAUGAGGAAAAUCACUCCUGUAGAAUGCAGAUGUUCAGAGGGAGAUGAUGCCACAUCUGGUCCAGCUGAUGGAAGGUCUUGAAGUUCUCUGACUGGCCUCGACUGAAGAUGGUCGUCUCACUGGAUUUAAGGUUCAGAUGCUCAGUAACAAACUCCACCAAUGUGCCAACAGGGAAGCUUUAGGUUUAUUAAAUGUUGCUAUGAAGGUAUCGCUGUUUUUCUUUGUGAAUGCAAUGUGCUCCAACUGAAAGUUGAAUUAGAACUUAGAAGUAAAUCCUUCCAGAUGAAAGCUGUGAUGGUGGUGGAUUGUCAGACUGUAAUGUUGCAGCUCAAAGCAGCUUUUCUAGCUCAGUUCAUUCUGACAUUCAGCUAUGAAUCAACACAGCAGAUGGUGAUCCAUGCUGUGGAAGUCUCACAUCUCCUGAUUUAAUGGAGCUGCUUUGCACUUUUUACACUGUUUAUUCACCAACACUUUAUUUAAUAAAAGUCCCAUCUAGUCUUUAUGAGGAAUGUGAUGUUUUAAUUUCUCUGUGAAUAACUGCAGUCUAAUGGAACAGCUGGAAUUGUAACAUCUGUCCUGAUAUUGAUCAUGAAGUAUUGAUCAGAAUACUUAUGGUUAGCAGUCAUCCCUGAAGUUUUACAGUAAAAUCUUUACUUGUGUUGUGAACUUUGGUAAGAAGCAGAAACUUUUGCGUUGCCAUGGAUACAUGAGUGUUAAAUUCUGUCCAUGUUUUUAUUUUGGGAAAUGCAGUUCAGUUCCAGAAUGUGGAGGAAUUUAGUCUCACAAUCACAGACAACAAAUAUCAUCUGAAAGUCGGGUUAUUGUUGUUUAUCAGCACAAUACAAAAAGAUUAAUGUUAGAAAUAUUCCAGCUAAGACUCUAGAAUAUCAGGAUUUAUGUAAAUUUACCUCAAUAAUAUGAAUGUUCAGGUUAAGAUUGUACAGUGAUAUUUAUUAUGCAAGUUUAGCUGAUUAAAGUUUAUGACUGCACUAAAAUAUUAUUUAAAUUGACAUCAUUAUUAUAAUAUUUAGGGUCAGACCCUACAGUAUUGAGAUUAAGAAAUCAAAUAUUCUUUAAAAUGUAAAUACAGUGAACUCAUUUGGAUAUAUUUAAGUGAGACUCUACAAUUUUAUUUGACACAAAUCUAUCUAAAUCAAAGUUUUAAUAAUUUUCACACCAAACAUUUACUGGACUGAUUUAAAUAUUAAAAUCACUCCUUUCUAAUCCUCUGCUGUACGUUCAAACCUGAGGCCUUAAAUAGAAACACACAAGUAUCUGAUUGAAGGAACUUCUGCAGAGUCCUGGUUCCAGAACAUGAUGAUAGAUUUAUAGACAAACUUUAGUAAAAGCUGCCUGAGAGUUUACAGGUUUUUAUGUUGGAUUUCUUCACUAAUUUAAUAAGUUAUCAGCAAAAAUCGUGUUCAUUUGAUGAACUUCAUUUCCUAAAACAUACAGAAUUGGAGCUCAUAUCUUUGGCAGCUGUAAAGUUUCUGCUCCUUCAAAGUUCACAACACAAUGAAUGAAUUCCUAAAACACUCUCAAUGCUGGAGAGCGUUUGAUGCUGAAGCAGUGACCAGUUUUUCUGUUUCUUCUCUGGAGAUGCACAAUGAGGGACGCCUGCAGCGACUGAGAAAGAGUCUCGCCACAUCCUGACAUGAGGAAAAAGACUUUAUUGAAGACUGCAAUGAGAAAAACUAUCAGAUAGCAGACGGCUGCAUUCAAGGUGAGCUCUGAACAUCUAAUCUGGAACAGGAAUUCAAUCACGGCAGCAUGAGCUUCAUUUCAGUCUGUAGCUGCUGAAUUCAUGGAUGAAUCAUCUGGCACUAUAGAGGAAGACCAUCAAACAUCCACAUCAGCUGAUGGAGGUCCAAGAGUUUCACCAAACAACCAACCUACAGAGUGAAGACCUCAAAUCUGAUUGGACGGUCUCCUAUUCAGCCACGUGUGAAGAAAUGCCUCUAAGCUGAUUUGUUUUCUAAAAUAAAUCUAGUUUGAGUCCUAA